Molecule: ribosomal RNA, 253 nt
Filed under: uncultured bacterium
Lineage: Bacteria
Description: partial 16S ribosomal RNA
Rfam family: Bacterial small subunit ribosomal RNA
Source: RNAcentral
UACGGGGGGGGCAAGCGUUGUUCGGAAUUACUGGGCGUAAAGGGCUCGUAGGCGGCCAACUAAGUCAUACGUGAAAUCCCCCGGCUUAACCGGGGAACUGCGUCUGAUACUGGAUGGCUUGAGUUCGGGAGAGGGAUGCGGAAUUCCAGGUGUAGCGGUGAAAUGCGUAGAUAUCAGGAGGAACACCGGUGGCGAAGGCGGGUCUCUGGGCAACAACUGACGCUGAGGAGCGAAAGCGUGGGGAGCGAACAGG